This 891-nucleotide ribosomal RNA is filed under the name uncultured archaeon. RNAcentral describes it as "bacterial SSU rRNA". It matches the Rfam family "Archaeal small subunit ribosomal RNA", at positions 464 to 1353 of the family's 1478-position model. The record is from RNAcentral.
GCCGCGGUAAUUCCAGCACCUCAAGUGGUCAGGAUGAUUAUUGGGCCUAAAGCAUCCGUAGCCGGCUUUGUUAGUUUUCGGUUAAAUCCAUGUGCUCAACGCAUGGGCUGCCGAAAAUACUGCAUGGCUAGGGAGUGGGAGAGGUAGACGGUACUCAGUAGGAAGGGGUAAAAUCCUUUGAUCUAUUGAUGACCACCUGUGGCGAAGGCGGUCUACCAGAACACGUUCGACGGUGAGGGAUGAAAGCUGGGGGAGCAAACCGGAUUAGAUACCCGGGUAGUCCCAGCUGUAAACGAUGCAGACUCGAUGAUGCAUUGGCAUAAUAGCCAGUGCAGUGUCGCAGGGAAGCCGUUAAGUCUGCCGCCUGGGAAGUACGUACGCAAGUAUGAAACUUAAAGGAAUUGGCGGGGGAGCACCACAAGGGGUGAAGCCUGCGGUUCAAUUGGAGUCAACGCCAGAAAUCUUACCCGGAGAGACAGCAGAAUGAAGGUCAAGCUGAAGACUUUACCAGACAAGCUGAGAGGUGGUGCAUGGCCGUCGCCAGCUCGUGCCGUGAGAUGUCCUGUUAAGUCAGGUAACGAGCGAGAUCCCUGCCACUAGUUGCUAUCAUUAUUCUCAGGAAUAGUGGGGCGAAUUAGUGGGACUGCCGUUGUUAAAACGGAGGAAGGAAGGGGCUACGGCAGGUCAGUAUGCCCCGAAACUCUGGGGCCACACGCGGGCUGCAAUGGUAGUGACAAUGAGUUCCAAACUCGAAAGAGAGUGGCAAUCUCUAAACGCUACCACAGUUAUGACUGAGGGCUGUAACUCGCCCUCACGAAUAUGGAAUCCCUAGUAACCGCGUGUCAUUACCGCGCGGUGAAUACGUCCCUGCUCCUUGUACACACCGCCGGU